Molecule: long non-coding RNA, 773 nt
Organism: Homarus americanus (American lobster)
Lineage: Eukaryota; Metazoa; Arthropoda; Malacostraca; Decapoda; Nephropidae
Exons: 2
Source: RefSeq, a predicted model, not a curated record
AAAGACUCAGGUAUAAAAGCAUCUAGACUCGUUUUCUGUCAUCAGUACACCUUCUACAGUCCUAUAGAAUUACGUCAACAACAACAAUAACAAGAUGACCUUCUCCUGCACCACCACCACCACCACCACUCGGUUUCUCUGCCUCGCCUUCAUCGUCUCCUUUAGUUUAUGCCUCGGCGUUAGUUCCUCACCAGUGCCUGAAGGUCAAGGAAGAUUUAUUACCAGCGAAUCACCAUCUGAUGACCCCAGUAACUUGUUGAAUAUCUUAACUAACCUCAACCUUUUCUCUUCACCAGCAAAUCCUAAUCCAACCAUUGUUGUUCCGCCGUCUCUUGAAGGUUUUGCAUCUCAGUUUGUCGAUGGGUCCACUGACUGCCCAACAGGUCAAAGCUGUGUAAUUGCAGCCAGCUUUCAACCUAAUACAGGGCUUGUGAGCUUCUUCCAAAGCUUGUGUCCAACCUGUGGAUAAAUUUCGGAAAACAAAACAAAACUCUCUCCCCUACCGAUGAGAAUUUUGAGCAGCAAAUCAAUGUUGUUUAUACCUCUUAAUUAAUGUUCGUUUACACCUGUUAAUUAUUUUUUACACAUGUUUGCUAAUGUUGUUUACACCUGUUAAUUAUUGUUUAUAUUUGUUGAUUAAUGUUCAUUUACAUCUGUUAAUUAUUGUUUACACCUGUUGACUAAUAUUGUUUACACCUGUUAAUUAUUGUUUACACCUAUUGAUCCAUGUUGUUUACACCUGUUAAUUAUUGUAAUAAAGUUUAAAAUGUUGA